AAAGUUAUGUAGUUCUUUAUCUCCUUGACAUCUGAUGGGAGGGCGCCACUGCCAAGAUGGCCCUCUGCCUGGUUCCCUGUAACUUCUCAAAGUGUGGGAGCCACCAGAAGACCUUCAGAGGAGGACUUUGGUGUCCAGACUGAGCAAUGGGGGUGGAGAUGCUCCUUCAGGUAUACUGAACCAAGGCUCUUUAUUGGAUUGAUGCAGGCAGAGAUGGCUCCAAAGGCAUGUCAAGUCUCAGGCCCUGAGGAGCUUUAAAGGUAAAGAUUGUUGCCAUUUUCCAAAAGCGACAACGGGCAUCAGAAUUGAUAUGGCUGGUGGAAUUCCUGCUGCUUGUGCUUUACACAUGCCCCCAUGUGGAAGUCAUCUUUCUGCAAUACAAUUCCACAUGGUGUGUGAAUUUUGCAACCAUGUGGUCAGGGCAGAUUAUGUGGGGCCUUCCCCUGCAAUCAGCAAACUACCCAAGCUAUCUGACUCACCCUCAUAUUUGCAUAGGUUAAUAAAAUUGUAGAGUUGGAAUGUUUCCCAAGGGUCAUCCAGUCCAAUUCCCCUGCGAUGCAGGAAUCUCAGCUUGCAAGUCCAAGCCAUGUGACAUUGCAUCAGAGAACAGUGGCUUCCAUGUGGAAUUCAACCAAUGUUAUGGACGCCUCUUAACAUCUAUUAGCAUCUGUGAAAGCAGGUGACAACCAAUCUCAUCAUGUUACACUUCAUUUGAUGCCAUGUUACAGUAAAAAAAUAUGUCUGAUUCUA
Molecule: non-coding RNA, 750 nt
Organism: Podarcis muralis (Common wall lizard)
Lineage: Eukaryota; Metazoa; Chordata; Lepidosauria; Squamata; Lacertidae
Source: RefSeq, a predicted model, not a curated record